GAUGAAGAACGUAGCGAAAUGCGAUAAGUAAUGUGAAUUGCAGAAUUCGGUGAAUCAUCGAAUCUUUGAACGCACAUUGCGCCCCUUGGUAUUCCGAGGGGCAUGCCUGUUCGAGCGUCAUUACACCACUCAAGCUAUGCUUGGUAUUGGGCGUCGUCCUUAGUUGGGCGCGCCUUAAAGACCUCGGCGAGGCCACUCCGGCUUUAGGCGUAGUAGAAUUUAUUCGAACGUCUGUCAAAGGAGAGGAACUCUGCCGACUGAAACCUUUAUUUUUCUAGGUUGACCUCGGAUCAGGUAGGGAUACCCGCUGAACUUAAGCAUAUCAAUAAGCGGAGGA
This 337-nucleotide unclassified non-coding RNA is filed under the name soil metagenome. RNAcentral's name for it is "partial contains 5.8S ribosomal RNA, internal transcribed spacer 2, and large subunit ribosomal RNA". The stretch from base 1 to 120 matches the Rfam family "5.8S ribosomal RNA", at positions 35 to 154 of the family's 154-position model. The record is from RNAcentral.